RNAcentral lists this unclassified non-coding RNA (345 nucleotides) under soil metagenome. RNAcentral's name for it is "partial contains 5.8S ribosomal RNA, internal transcribed spacer 2, and large subunit ribosomal RNA". The stretch from base 1 to 120 matches the Rfam family "5.8S ribosomal RNA", at positions 35 to 154 of the family's 154-position model. The record is from RNAcentral.
GAUGAAGAACGCAGCGAAAUGCGAUACGUAAUGUGAAUUGCAGAAUUCAGUGAAUCAUCGAGUCUUUGAACGCACAUUGCGCCCCCUGGUAUUCCGGGGGGCAUGCCUGUCCGAGCGUCAUUGCUGCCCUCAAGCACGGCUUGUGUGUUGGGCCUCCGUCGUCCUCCCGGGGGACGGGCCCGAAAGGCAGCGGCGGCACCGCGUCCGGUCCUCGAGCGUAUGGGGCUUCGUCACCCGCUCUUGUAGGCCCGGCCGGCGCUUGCCGACACAUCAAUCUUUUUUCCAGGUUGACCUCGGAUCAGGUAGGGAUACCCGCUGAACUUAAGCAUAUCAAUAAGCGGAGGA